CUCAUGGCCUUUAUGCCUAGAGCUUCACACGUGCUACAAUGGCGACUACAGAGCGACGCAAGACCGCGAGGUGGAGCAAAUCGCAAAAAAGUCGCCCCAGUUCAGAUUGCAGGCUGUCAAUUCGCCUGCAUGAAGUUGGAAUCGCUAGUAAUCGCGUAUCAGCUAUGACGCGGUGAAUGUGUUCCUGAGCCUUGUACACACCGCCCGUCAAGUGAUGGGAGCCGGAAGUACCCGAAGUCGGGUUGUCAACCGCAAGGAGACGCCUGCCGACGGUAAGUUCGGUGACUGGCACUAAGUCGUAACAAGGUAGCCGUAGGGGAACCUGCGGCUGGAUCACCUCCUUUCUAAAGGAA
Molecule: ribosomal RNA, 353 nt
Filed under: Phycisphaerales bacterium
Lineage: Bacteria; Pseudomonadati; Planctomycetota; Phycisphaerae; Phycisphaerales
Description: bacterial SSU rRNA
Rfam family: Bacterial small subunit ribosomal RNA
Source: RNAcentral